This 250-nucleotide ribosomal RNA is filed under the name uncultured Chroococcidiopsis sp. RNAcentral's name for it is "partial 16S ribosomal RNA". It matches the Rfam family "Bacterial small subunit ribosomal RNA", at positions 796 to 1044 of the family's 1533-position model. The record is from RNAcentral. Lineage: Bacteria; Bacillati; Cyanobacteriota; Cyanophyceae; Chroococcidiopsidales; Chroococcidiopsidaceae.
CUAGCUGUAAACGAUGGAUACUAGGCGUUGAGAGUAUCGACCCUCUCAGUGUCGUAGCUAACGCGUUAAGUAUCCCGCCCGGGGAGUACGCGCGCAAGCGUGAAACUCAAAGGAAUUGACGGGGGCCCGCACAAGCGGUGGAGUAUGUGGUUUAAUUCGAUGCAACGCGAAGAACCUUACCAGGGCUUGACAUGUCCGGAACCCUGCCCAAAGGCGGGGGUGCCUACGGGAACCGGAACACAGGUGGUGC